GAUGAACGCUGGCGGCGUGCUUAACACAUGCAAGUCGAACGAAGAGGCCCUGCUUGCUGGGGGGGCUCGUGUGGAGCGCGUGCGUGACACACGAGUAACCCCCGCUCAUCACUGGGGUAUACCUGGGAGACUGUGUGGCUUAUACGGUAGAGGCGUUCAUCGCACGGGGUGUGGUGGGGAGAUUUAGCGGUUUUGGCUGGGCUCUCGGCCUAUCAGCUUGUUGGUGGGGUAAUGGCUCACCAAGGCGCCGACGGGUAGCCGGCCUGUGAGGGUGACCGGCCACACUGGGACUGAGACACGGCCCAGACUCCUACGGGAGGCAGCAGUGGGGAAUAUUGCACAAUGGGCGGAAGCCUGAUGCAGCGACGCCGCGUGCGGGAUGACGGCCUUCGGGUUGUAAACCUCUUUCGGUUGGGACGAAGCGAAAGUGACGGUACCUGCAGAAGAAGCACCGGCUAACUACGUG
This 466-nucleotide ribosomal RNA is filed under the name uncultured bacterium. Its description in RNAcentral is "partial 16S ribosomal RNA". It matches the Rfam family "Bacterial small subunit ribosomal RNA", at positions 28 to 507 of the family's 1533-position model. The record is from RNAcentral.